CCUGAAGGUCCCCUGGCAGUGCUGAGGGACCGAGCCCAGCAGAUCUCAUGUCCUCUAUACCUGUGUCCGAUGCUGGAGGCCCUCGAGGAAGGGGGGCCGCCGCUGACCCUGGGCCUGGAGGGGGAGCACCAGCGGUCCAACGCCGCCUUGGCCUUGCAGCUGGCCCACUGCUGGCUGCAGUGGCAGGACCGCCAUGGUGCUGGGGAGCCAAAGGCAUCCAGGCCAGGGCUCCUGUGGCAGCUGCCCCUGGCACCCGUGUUCCAGCCCACAUCCCACAUGCGGCUCGGGCUUCGGAACACGGAGUGGCCGGGCCGGACGCAGGUGCUGCGGCGCGGGCCCCUCACCUGGUACCUGGACGGUGCGCACACGGCCAGCAGCGUGCAGGCCUGCGUGCGCUGGUUCCGCCAGGCGCUGCAGGGCCGCGAGAGGCCGAGCGGUGGCCCCGAGGUUCGAGUCUUGCUCUUCAAUGCUACCGGGGACCGGGACCCGGCGGCCCUGCUGAAGCUGCUGCAGCCCUGCCAGUUUGACUAUGCCGUCUUCUGCCCUAACCUGACAGAGGUGUCAUCCACAGGCAACGCAGACCAACAGAACUUCACAGUGACACUGGACCAGGUUCUGCUCCGCUGCCUGGAACACCAGCAGCACUGGAACCACCUGGACGAAGAGCAGGCCAGCCCGGACCUCUGGAGUGCCCCCAGCCCAGAGCCCGGUGGCCUGUCUGUGAGAUGAGAAGACCAGACUGAAGCCUGUUCACCAUAUGCCAGGCAGUGCUUUCUGCAGACCCCCUUGCAGAGACCUUGUGAUGGAGAAUUAUACCCAUUUGACA
This 826-nucleotide small RNA is filed under the name Pan troglodytes (chimpanzee). RNAcentral describes it as "processed transcript". Lineage: Eukaryota; Metazoa; Chordata; Mammalia; Primates; Hominidae. The record is from RNAcentral.